CUACGUACGGUGCCUCGACGCCAGCGCCGCCGUUCAGGGUGGUGCCAUCUAUUGACCGCCCCCGCGCCGCCGCUUUCUCGUUGCGACGCCAUCUUGAAUGACAGCGAGCGGUUGCGAUUGCUUGGUGCCAGUGCUUAGUUCGAGGCAAAGUGGGCGCGGAUGCUUCGCUGACGCUCCUACUUGCUGGACAGUGUUCAACCGCAUGACUGACAAGCUUGUCAAGUGCAUCGAGUCGACAUGACUGGCUGUUGUGUUCCCGCAAGUGCGCCUGAUCAACGCGUGAAGGGCUUCGUUGUUUUCGCUUCCCCCGGGACCCAGAGCGAAGGAAGAGAUGGGAAGCCCAAGUAAAGCGGGAUCACUAGAAGGCAACGGAUAGCUCUUACAUUUGUGAGAAACACGUUGAAAAGUACCAGUACGAGGUAAAUCGACAGGAUGGGUGCAGUCUGUUAAAGUCAACAGCCCUGCCCACGCUGUUUCAAUUUCGACCUCGGCCUAAGCGAAGACCUCGCAGGAGGUCUUCUUCGCAUGUGUACUUGCAGGUACGGAAAACAACCCUUCCCCAAGUAUUGUUCCAGAAGUUGACCUUGACGGCACCGCAGAAGUCAGUCGAGAUAGUAUCUCCUCUUUGGAAGAAACUGCAGUAGAGCGUGAGUGUAAUGAGGGCAUAUAGCUUUCGCCACGUGAGCUACGAAAUGCUCCGCAAG
This 704-nucleotide long non-coding RNA is filed under the name Dermacentor andersoni. RNAcentral's name for it is "uncharacterized LOC126522843". The record is from RNAcentral. Lineage: Eukaryota; Metazoa; Arthropoda; Arachnida; Ixodida; Ixodidae.